This 1916-nucleotide long non-coding RNA is filed under the name Podarcis lilfordi (Lilford's wall lizard). The record is from RNAcentral. Lineage: Eukaryota; Metazoa; Chordata; Lepidosauria; Squamata; Lacertidae.
CCCCCACCAGAGGGCACUAGGCUGGAGAAGCCUUCCCCAGGUGAUCUUUUUCCCUUGCAUGGGGAUUUAGCAAAGGGGAUGAGUAGGUUUAUGGCGGUAACAAGGCACUGUCGGCAACAAGAUCUCAGGCCUGGAAGAGAUUUGCAGUGCCAGGAUUCAGCCCAGGAGAAUGAUGCAUGUGGCUGCAUACUCUUCCUGGCCGUAGCUGUCAACUUUUCCCUUUUCUUGCGAGGAAUCCUAUUCGAAAUAAGGGAAUUUCCCUUUUUUUAAAAAGGAAACGUUGACAGCUAUGUUCCUGGCCCUGAGUAGCCCCACAGCCUAGUUCAGGGAUGAGGAGGAGCCUGGUGGCUUCCAGUCAGGGGUGUCAACUUGAAUAAAAUAUGGGGGGGGGGAGGCUCCAGGUAAGCCCCACCCCACAUAAUCAUUCACAAGAUGUGGCACGCACGCACAGCAUUUGAAUGGCAAUGCCCAUCAACUUGGGGGAGGCCAAACCUCCUCAAAUACACCUACAGGCGGAAGUAUCCUAUCACCUCAGCCUUUUCUCAACAAAAAUACUUUUCAACUGAGCUGGUUCAAACAUUCAGCCACCACUUACCAAGUGUUCAGGGAUCAAGUCCGGGGGAAAUUUAACGAUAUCUUUGCAUUAAUUAUUUAAUUAUUGCAGUUAUACCCCACCCUUUUUCUCCAAGGAGCUCAUGGUGGCAUACAUGAUUCUCCCCCCAUCUCAAUUAAUCACCACAACCACCCCAUGAGGUAGGUUAGACUGGAAGAGGCAAUGACUAGACCAAGUCCACCCAGUGAGCUUCAUGGCUAAGUGGGGUUUUGAACCCUGGUCUCUCCCAGGCCCUUGUUCCUACUCUCUAACCACUACACCAAACUCUUUCUCAGCCCUGGUUGACGCCUUUAGAAUUAAUGAAUCUCACAUAUCCGUUCUAGAGAGGGAGAAGAAUGUUCUGCAUUGCCUGUGUCACAUAUACUGUACACUCGUCGUCCCGUGAGCAUCAUUGGUCAAACAAUUUUGUGGGACAGAAGUAAAAAGAGAUGGGCAGCAAAGGCUCCUGCAACUCUGAGACAACAACAAGAACAUUAUCAUCUGUCUUCCCAGUGUGUUUGGUUUAUUAUUAGACUCGGGAGAGAACGUGUUGCUAAAGCCAUCUGCUCCAGACUCGCAAUGCCAUUAAAGUGCCUGCAGGUUUAGAGAUGUGUUUGCUUACAGUGGUGCCCCGCAAGACGAAUGCCUCGCAAGACAAAAAACUCGCUAGACGAAAGGGUUUUCCGUUUUUUGAGCUGCUUCGCAAGACAAAUUUCCCUAUGGGCUUGCUUCGCAAGACGAAAAACGAAAACGUCUUGCAAGUUUGUUUCCUUUUCUUAACACCGUUAAUACAGUUGCGACUUGACUUCGAGGAGCAACUCAUAGAACGCGGUGUGGUAGCCUUUUUUGAGGUUUUUGAAGACUUUGGUGAUUUUUGAAGCUUUUCCAAAACUUCUUUUAAACUUUUAAAACUUUUUUGGGGGGUUUUGGAUUUUGGGUUGGGGUGUUUGGAAUUCAAGGACUUGGUGUUGGGGAGGGGUUUGCAAGAAUCUGGAAGCUUGUGUGGUUUUUUUCUGCAUUUUUGUGAUUUUCUGUGACCAUUGGGCCACUCUGCUGUUUUUUUAAAAAAAAUUCUGGAUUUGAAUUUCUGUGUAGUGGGUGGCUGGGGGAACAGUUGAGGAGGGGUUUGCAAGCAUCUGGAAGCUUGUGUGGUUUUUUCCUGCAUUUUUAUGAUUUUCUGUGACCAUUGGGCCACUCUGCUGUUUUCUAAAAAAAAUUCUGGAUUUGAAUUUCUGUGUGGUGGGUGGCUGGGGGAACAGUUGAGGAGGGGGUUCUUCAGCAAGAAGCAAAGAGUGGAAGAGGAACCUUCUUCGAGUUGUCCCCC